CAUCUACAGGCGACAACACAGCUUGGUAUUUGGGGCAUGUUCAUGUUUUCUUGGUUUCUUUCUUAGACUUUGUAUACUUAAUUUUUGUACAGUAAGAUCACGGGAUGUGUGCACAACACAUGCAUGUUUAUCACAGGUGGGUUGAUGAGUAAUUUUUUAUGUUCUAUAAACAAACAAAAAACUCCUUUUGUUCCUAUUUAAUAGGUCAAACUGGUCAGAACACGUAACUACAGGAGAUAGUUAAGCAUUGUGUUUAGAGGUAAAGAUGGAGACAAGGGAAGAAACUUUGCUUCUCCAAGGGAAACAAUUGUUUUCAAGACAGCCAUCCCUGACACAAACGUUUUCCAGGAAAUAGUGGAACAUCCUCCAGUCAUGUAUAAAUGGCAGUGCGUGAAACAGUGGCACAGUUCUUUCUUCAUUGAAAACUUACACAAGUGUUCUAAUGUACCACAAUUUUGCCUACCUGUAUGUAAAAGUUGUGUCAAAUAUCUCUUCUAGUUGGUUGUUCCAAGUUUCCAGUGAAUUAGACAGUUGCCAAGCUAAAUGGAAAACAGAGAUGAAAAAAGUGUCAUUGAAUGAUCAUAAAAUAAAA
Long non-coding RNA from Physella acuta, 592 nucleotides. RefSeq lists it as uncharacterized. The record is from RefSeq and is a predicted model, not a curated record. Lineage: Eukaryota; Metazoa; Mollusca; Gastropoda; Physidae.